UACGUAGGGGGCAAGCGUUGUCCGGAAUUACUGGGCGUAAAGCGCGUGUAGGCGGGACGGUUAGUCGGACGUGAAAGGCUGGGGCCCAACCCCAGAUCGCCGUUCGAAACUGCCGUUCUUGAGGGUCGAAGAGGAGAGUGGAAUUCCUGGUGUAGCGGUGAAAUGCGUAGAGAUCAGGAGGAACACCCAUGGCGAAGGCAGCUCUCUGGUCGACAUCUGACGCUGAGACGCGAAAGCGUGGGGAGCGAACGGG
RNAcentral lists this ribosomal RNA (253 nucleotides) under uncultured bacterium. Its description in RNAcentral is "partial 16S ribosomal RNA". It matches the Rfam family "Bacterial small subunit ribosomal RNA", at positions 524 to 776 of the family's 1533-position model. The record is from RNAcentral.